This 498-nucleotide ribosomal RNA is filed under the name uncultured bacterium. RNAcentral describes it as "partial 16S ribosomal RNA". It matches the Rfam family "Bacterial small subunit ribosomal RNA", at positions 28 to 523 of the family's 1533-position model. The record is from RNAcentral.
GAUGAACGCUAGCGGCAGGCCUAAUACAUGCAAGUCGAACGAUACUUUCCAGCUUGCUGGAGAGGAGAGUGGCGCACGGGUGCGUAACGCGUAUACAACCUACCUUAAUCAGGGGGAUAGCCCGAAGAAAUUCGGAUUAACACCGCAUAAAAUCACAGUAUAGCAUUAUACAAUGAUCAAAUAUUGAUAGGAUUAAGAUGGGCAUGCGUGACAUUAGUUAGGUGGCGGGGUAACGGCCCACCAAGACCACGAUGUCUAGGGGAUCUGAGAGGAUGACCCCCCACACUGGUACUGAGACACGGACCAGACUCCUACGGGAGGCAGCAGUAAGGAAUAUUGGUCAAUGGAGGCAACUCUGAACCAGCCAUGCCGCGUGCAGGAAGACAGCCCUCUGGGUCGUAAACUGCUUUUAUUCGGGAAUAAACCUAUCUACGUGUAGAUAGCUGAAUGUACCGAAGGAAUAAGGAUCGGCUAACUCCGUGCCAGCCGCCGCAGUAA